CGCGGGGAGGUAAUAAUAUCACUUUUAUCUAGUUAAGGUGUGUAAUAGGUCACUUAUAUAAUUUAGGUGUGGCUUAGACUUUUCUUGUAUAGUAUGAGAUGGAAAUGAUGUCUUUUCCCUAAAAAAAAAUACAAUUUAUCUUUAAGAUCAAGUAGACUUACCUCAGAUUUUACUUCUUUUUCUUCCAUGUCUGAGUCACCUAUAUCCAUAAGUGCACUUUUAUCAACUCCAUCAUCAUCAGAUUAUUCUAAGCUUGAUCCCCAUACAGCCAUCGUAGAAAAAAAUUUCUUACUUUUAGAGUUAGAUUUCUCUUUUAGCUUCAACUCUUUUUCAACUAUUUCCUUUUCCUUCCCCAUUUUCCACAAUGGACAAUCCUUGAUCAUAUGAUCUAUAUUAUCACACUUAAAGCAACCAACUUGAGACUUAUCAUUGGAGCAACACCUGCUACUUGUUCUUUUCUUGUUCUGACGCUUUCCUUUCUUAAAAAAUCUUUUAAAGUUCUUGACAAGCUUUUCAUCAUCCAAAUUUGAUUCUUCUACAGAUGUCUUUAAUGCUAGUGAUUUAUUCUUAGUUUCCUCAUCCUUUUUUAAGGUCUCUAUAUCAUUCUCAUACAUAUCCACAAGAGUGUCUUAAAUUUGUUUGGCGGUGAUAAAACCUAAGAUCCUGUUGUAUUUACUAUUCCAAGUCCACAAUUAAGAAUAUACUUGGACUUUGCAUUCUUUUCAAGUAUCUUAAAGUCAACCUCAUCGCACUCAUUCUUUUCUUUUAAUAUGUCUUUGUUUUCAACAUCCUUCUUCAUGGGGUAUUAUGUUCCAUCGAUAAUUCUAUUCCAGAGUUUGUAGUCCACAACCUAAAGAAAAUCUUUCAUCCUGAGUAGUAGUAUCCAUUGAACAACGGAGGCCUAUUUAUGUCUUAUACUUCGCAGUAUCCAGUAGGUGGCGUAGAAUUAAUCUUUGGUCUUAUCUCAAGGUGUAAGCUUCACAAGAUAACCUUCUUUGAUACCAAUUGAUAAUUCUACACUUCCUAAUAACUCACGUGAGUUAUGCUCGAUUUUUUCCUAUGAAUGGACCGGGUCGCCUAACAUGUUCCAACAGAAGCAGUAAAGACAGUAAAUAAUGAACACGAUAGUUUUACAUGGAAAACACCCGACUCGUAAGAGGUGUUAAAAAUUACGACCUGUACCUCUACAGGACUUAACCCCAACUUCACUAAACAUAAUGAGUCUCUCAACAAAAGACUGCAAACUCUGUAACCUAAGGAAUUAUAAACUCUAAUUUCUAAUAUUCAACAAUAUCCUCAGACUGUUGAAACCUACUUCAAGUUUCCCCACUUGAAAUCAAAUUAUAAAACUCCAGCAACCCUAGGAACUAACUCCAAUUCCUAAUACACAAACCUCCCAAGUUUUAUAUUCCCAAGUCCUUAGUUAUCCUAACUCAAAGACUAAACUCUUAAACCAGUUUUUAACACACUAGUACUAAGAAAGCAUGAAAAUUACAACUCAAUAAACUUCGUAAUACAUAAUAACUAGAAUAAAAGAGUGUUUAACGCAUAGAUGAAACAGGUUCUUCAAUUUGAUUCUUCAAUCUAGUUCACUGUAUUUGGCUGCACUUCUAUAGGCAGAACUCUCUCAAAUAUCGUUCUUACUUAUUUUCUCAUGUUCUCCCUUUUUCUCUCAGUAUUUGUGCAUCAUUUUCUUUUUAAAAGUUCUUGAAUAUUUAUAACUUCUAUUGAUCUUCACAAUCAAGUAGACUUUCAACUCCACAAAGACUCCCAUGCUUCUUGGACUCUCUUCUUGAGUGUUGUAGUCAAACACUAAAUCUUCUUUUCAGAACAUGAUGAUCUUCUAAUGUUUAUCUGAAGUAACACACUUUCUUUCUUUUAUUUUUGCUCAUAUGAUUUUAUCCAAAGAAAGUCCUCUUGCAAGUUGAACUCUUUUGAAGCAGUUUUUCAUGAACCAUCUACGCUUACUUGUUCCAUGACCUUUUGUCAAUCAUUAAAAUUUCACAAGUCUUAAUAAAUUCUCCCUUUUUGAUGAUGACAAACUCAGGCCCUUGUGCAUUCCAUUUUGACAUCAACAUCUUGACCUAUAAACACUAAAGCAUAGAAUAGUUGAAUGAAAACUCAUGCUCUUGUGCAUUUUAUUUCAAUAGAGACAUCUUGACCUAUGAAAGUUGAAAAGGACUCUCAUCUUCUUGGACUCUUGAGCCUGCAUAUUUGUGAACUCCUUAUGUGGAUACGGUUUGUCCAAGUCUAUAAGAACUCUUGCAUGACAAGGACUCCUAUAUUGCUUAGAUGUUUGAGUUUGUGCAUUUUUGGACUUUUGUAUUGAAUAUACUUUGUACAAACUUUGUGGUAUUUUCUUCUUGAGACUUUCGUUAUUUCAAAAAGUCCAUAUACAACUAGACUCUGGAUGCAGGAACCUAUUGACCAACCUAUUUCAUGUACAUGUUCCACUGCUUUGUCAAUCAUCAAAAUAUACACGAGCUCAAUGCUAUAUUUUUCAAUGUUUUCUCAAAAAAUGCAUUUACUCAAUCAAGACAAACUUCUGACAAUAGCUGAACAAAUAUUUUUAAUUUUAAUUUAACUCAUUAAAUAUUUGUGACAAAAUCAAGGCUUUUGAAUAAAAUUAAAACCACAUGCAAAAAUACAUCAACAUGGAGAAUUAACAAGCUAAUCAAUACACCAUCAGUCACAAUAAUAACCGAAAUCAACCCUAAAUAAUGACACAUUACAUCAUUUUAGACAUAAAUUACAUAAUAUCUACCAUAAAAUCAUCAAUACAAUAAUACAAAGGUACAAGAUACAUCUGAAGAAGCAUUGUAUACACCAAUUUUGAAUAACUUAAGCAUGUCGUUUCAGCAUAUAUUGAUCAUUUUCAGCUACAUUAAGUUCAGAUCUCAUUUGCAUGUUUUAAUAAAAAAAAGAUUUAUCGGACAUUUCUAAGAUCACAAAAUCAGGAACAUAAUACAUAGAUUGAAAAUCUCCAUAUUAUUAUCUUGAUAUUCAACAAUAAAAAUUUUAAAUGAGUUAAACAACAUGCAAAUGCUGAAAAACAUAGAUAAUGUCAACAAAUAGUUAAACUCACCAUUUGGAGUUAGUGAAUAACAACUUUUACUGAAAAUGAUCAUUGUAAAUAGAGCAAAAAUAACAAAAUACAUAGACUCAUUUCGAUUGUAUAAUGAAACAAAACAUAUUUGAGCUUAGUUUUUCAUUUCAAGAUAAAAGUAUUACCAAGUUGAAAUUAAAGACAAUGAUGGAGUUUUAAUACAAUUAAUAGCUAGCUGAUUAAGGAUGUUACAAAUAAAAUUCAUAAAAAUAAAGUUAAAGCACGAAAUGAGAAAAAUCAAAAGAGGAGGUGUGAUUCUUUGUUUUUGAAGAAAGAGAAGAAUUUACUUUAAAAUGGUAUAGAAAUUACGAUGACUAAAGAGGAUCUGUUAUUUUUAUGGGAAAAGGCAUUGUUUCCACCCCAAACUAUACCCGAAAAGUCGAAGCCACACCUAAACUAUACUAGUAACCUAUUACACACCUAAACUAUAAAAAAGGGAAACUAUUUACACCCUAUCAGGAUACCACCACUUGCAUGUGGUGUAGUGUUUUACACGCGCUGUCACAUCAACGCCACGUCAGUAAAAAGUAUCACUUUUUUUUAUAGUUAAGGUGUGUAAUAGGUCACUUAUAUAGUUUAGGUGUGGAUUCAACUUUUCGACUAUAGUUUGGGGUGAAAAUGAUGUCUUUUUCCUUAAUGUUUUUAGCCAUUUACUUUUGUUAUUUAAUAGGCUGGACGCGCCUAAAAUAAGUGUAACACAUGCGCCUUAGAAUGGGGGUCGCAGGGAGGUAAUAAUAUCACUUUUAUAUAGUUAAGGUUGUAAUAGAUCACUUAUAUAAUUUAAGUGUGGCUUAGACUUUUCUUGUGUAGUAUGAGGUGGAAAUAAUUUCUUUUCCCUUAUUUUUAUCAAACAUAAACAAACACCAAAGAUGAAGGUGAAGAGAAAAGUAACUUUUCACACAACAAAUGCUUUUAUAGUAAUUGUUUCUUAUUCUAGAUGCAUCCAUGGAUUUUUAUUUAUUUUAUUUUCUUUUAAUAUGAGAUGUUAUUUAAUGAUCUAGAUCUUCAAUUUUUUUAACCUAGAACUGCUAUUUAUGGGGUUGGAUCUUUUUAAUUAGUUUGGAACACAAUUUUAUUUAAUAAAUUCAAUUAUUUAAGAAAAUAAAAAUUAUAUUUGUAUUUAAUUAUAUUAAUUGAUAUUAAUGGUAUCAUAUUGCUUGGACCUGCAUGCACCUAGAGGUAUGCAUCAGUUGAUUUAUUUCGAUUUUAUGAAUUUUUAUUAAGUUUAAUCUUUUUCGAUUUUUAAUAUGGUAAAUCAAUAAUCAUAUUAAUAAAUUAUUUUUUCUAUUUUUAAUUUAUCAAUUUUUAAUCUUUAACGUUUUGAUUAUCAUUUAAUCAAUAAUAUAAUAUUUAUAAAUAAUAUAGUGUUAACUUACAUAAAAGAAACUAAAUCUCAGUUUUAACCAAAAUUCAAGAUGAUGAACUUUAAUUUCAUAACUAAAAAGUUGAAAAGGUUGCCAGUAAAUUGAAUAGUUUCGUAUAAAUUAUAUAGACAUUAAGAAAAAUAUAUACCAAUAAGUAUAUGAAUAUGUAUAUUUGUGUUAGAAUAACGAUAAACAAUAAUAGUUUUAUGAUCACAAUAUAUUACCAGAUUCGUUUAUUUGCAAUCUCCUACACACACCAUCUUUUAAAUUUUAUGCUAUUUAUAGUAUUAUAAUUUUGUUCAAUGUAAAUUAUCAAAAAUAAAAACUUUAUCUAUUUAAUUCAAUAGGAAUAUAUUAUUAAUUUAAAUUAAUAGUAAGGAAAAUUUAGACUUAAAUAUGUCAUCAACUUUUAAAAAUGAACAUUUUGUGUUAUAUAUUUUGCGCUUUUAUUUCACAAUAUUAAAAGAUUUGACUCGUUAAUGUCUAUACCAUUAUAGAAAUUAUUCAUUUACACUACUUUUUUUAAUGGUGACAAGGUCCCUAGGGAGGUUCUUUAGAGAUGCUUGGAGGUGAGGGGGUCCCGGUAGCGUACAUCAGAAUGAUUAAAGACAUGUAUGAGGGAGCGAAGACUCGGGUAAGGACAGUGGGAGGAGAUUCAGAGCAUUUUCUGGUCUUGAUAGGGUUGCAUCAGGGAUCAACUCUUAGUCCAUUUUUAUUCACUUUAAUGAUGGAUGUGCUGACGCGGAAUAUACAAGGCGAGGUGCCUUGGGGUAUGCUUUUCGAGGAUGAUAUAGUUUUGCUUGAUGAAUCACGACAAGGGGUUAUUGAUAAGCUGGAGGUUUGGAGACAAACCCUGGAGGCUAAAGGUUUCAGGUUGAGUAGGACCAAGAUGGAGUACUUGGAAUGCAAGUUUAGUGACUCGAGACAAGAGGAGGAGGUGGUAGUGAAGUUGGAUUCUCAGGCGGUUUGCAAGAGGAAGAGUUUUAAGUAUCUCGGGUCUAUGAUUUAGGAAAAUAGGGAGAUAGAUGAGGAUGUCUCUCAUCGUAUUGGGGUAGGUUGGAUGAAAUGGAGGCUUGCUUCGGGAAUUUUAUUCGAUAAGAAGGUGCCCCUAAGCUGAAAGAUAAAUUCUAUAGAGUUGCCAUCCGGCCUGCUAUGUUGUAGGGAGCGGAGUGUUGGCCGGUUAAGAAUUCUCAUAUUCAAAAAUUGAAGGUGGCGGAAAUAAGGAUGUUGCAUUGGAUGUGUGGAUUCACAAGGGCUACAGGGUUAGGAAUGAAAUUAUUCGGAAAAAGGUGGGAGUGGUGUCAGUGGAGGAUAAAAUGCGGGAAGUGAGGUUGAGAUGGUUUGUUCAUGUGAUGAGGAGGGGCACAGAUGCCCCAAUUUGUAGGUGUGAGAGGUUUGCCUUGGAUGGUUUCAAGCGGGAUAGGGGUAGACCAAAGAAAUACUGGAGAGAAGUAAUUAAACGUGACAUGGAGCAGUUACAGAUGACUGAGGACAUGAUCCUGAAUAGGAAGAUAUGGAGAAAAAAUAUUAGGAUAGAGGGCUAAGGGUGUGGAUGAGUAGUAGUCAGUAAUUAGAUGGACUUCGAUGUCCUUUGUUUGACAAUGUAAAUUUUUUUUGUGGAUAUCGUACCUAUGUUGUUUUAUUAUGUUCUAUGCUUUGGAUGCUUUUGUAUACUCAGAGGCGGACCCACGUGUAGCGGUGGGGUGCACAUGCACCCGUUAACGUCAAAAAAAAUUAUGUGUAUAUAUGUGUAUAUACCUUGAUAAAUUGGAAUAUAUACUAUAGUGCACCCAUAGUUGACAGAUAGUGCACCUUGGUAUGCUGGUUGAUGCCCGCACUUCCACCCACGCGAACAUUUUCUCUUUUAUUUUCAAUUAUUUAGAUUUAAAGGCUUAUUAACAAAACUUGAUGAAAUGGGGAUUCGAACCAGGGAUCAGUACCUAAGGUGAACUCUCCUUCAUCACUCCUUCAUCAUUAACCUACCACAACUGAUUGUUAAAAAUUGAUAAAAGUAAACUUCAUAUUUUAAUUCUUCAGAUUUAAAGGCUUAUAUCAAAGUUGUAACAAAAAUCGAUGAAAUGGAAAUUCGAACUCACAACCAAUCCCUAAGGUGAACACCCCUUCACCACUAACCUACCACAAUUGAUGGUUAUAAAAGUAUACUUUAUAUUAUAAGAAAGUAAAGUUAUUAUCUUAGAACUCAUAUUCGUUCAAUAUAAUUAUUUUUGCAUUAUUGUUCAUGUCUUUGGCAACCAAUUGAAUAUGAUAAUAUUCCUUAAUCGAAACUCAAAGUUUUUCUAACGUCUUAAGAUAAUAUUGGUGCACCACAAUAUUAUCAAAAGCAAUAAGCGUAAAAAAGCUUCAAGGCCUAUUGUGUUUAAUCACAAAGUACAAAUAAAGUGUGAGAUUUAACAAAAAAGGCAUAAAAGGAGAAAAAAAUAUAAAUAUAUGUCUAGUCCAAGACUAAUAAUAUAAGUAUGAAUGAGAAAUAUAUGAACAAAUUUUUUUUUUUUUUUAAUAAAGUAAAAUAUCAAUUGUUUAACCUUCGUCAAGGAAAAGUAUGUAUUACAAAUUAGAACCUAAGCUGCAUAUUAAGCGAGACGAGCGCUCAACACAAUUUGAGUCUUACUUCGAGGUUUAUGCGUGCCUUUGACAACACUGGUGCACUCACAGAUUUCAAAUUCAUGGUUCGCCUCUGUAUAUACUGCCUUUUAUGUUGAGCCGGGGGUUUAUCGGAAACAGCCUCUCUACCUCUUUUGAGGUAAUGGUAUGAACUGCGUACACUAUACUCUCCCCAAAUUUUACUAUGUGGGAAUAUACUGAGUUUAUUGUUGUUAUUGUUGUUGUUUUUAAUGGUGAUUUUAAUGUCAUGAUUCUAUAUUUUAUCAAUAUCUAACUAAAUAGUCUGUGUAUCAUAUAUAGGCUCUCCCUGAUCUAAUAAAAAAUAUAAAAAAAUUCAUUCUUUUAAUGUAAAAUAUACUAUUAUUUAAUAUACUUAAACAAGACAUUGCUGUCUGAAAGUUUUAUAACUAAUACCUAGAUUAUCUGCACAUUGAGCGGCUAAAUAUACUAGUUAAAAUUAGAAACAGAAAACAAUUUUUUUUUUUUAAAAAAAGAAAACACUGCUGCUUCAGCUCCCACCCUCUUUUCUUGUUCUUCACACACCCUCUUCUUCUAGCCCCCGUCUCUCUCCCCUUUCCUCAUACUCUCUUUUUCUCGACGAAAUGUGAAUAGAAAAUUCUUCUUAGCGUAUUAUUUUGCUUCUUCGAGGAGUUUUCGAAAGUUUACACUGUUAUAGUGUUGGGUUCGAAAUCGAGAGGGCGUCAUGCGGAAUCUAUUAGUUAUAAAAUAUAAGAAGAUAAAUUAGACGACAAAUAAAAAAUUAAAUUAAAAAUAUACUAUUAGAUAUGGUUUGACCAAACGGUCUACAUAUUAAAAAUAAAAAUAAAAAUCCUAAAUCUUGUUAGGAGAAAUCUCUCUAAACAAAGACUUUUAAACGACUACAUUGUGAAUGUUACUAUGUUAUGGUAUGAGAAGGGAGUCUUCCUCCAAGAAAGAGAUUAGCCAUUUUUUCUUUCAGGAAAAGUAAAAGUAAUUAUGAUAGUUUUAUUUUCCUUCUAAGAAGAAGUAAAACUUAAAUAUAAUAAGAAAAUCAGAGCAAAAAUCUUAACAAAUCUUUCCUUUUUUGUUUGAUUUUCUUUAAAAUAUUCUUGAUCCGUCUUCUUCGUAUCACAUGCAUGAACUUCGUUCUUGAUAUAAUCUUCAUAACUGUUGCUUGUCAUGGUUAAAAAUAAGGUUUAAAAUAUUAUGGUUAAAAAAUUGGUUUUAAAGUAAAUUUUAUUUUCAUUUUUAAAGAUGCAGCAGCAGGCGUGUUGAAAAUAUGAUUGAAACUUGUUCUUCAUAUGUAGUUUGAUAAAAAUCUUCAUUAUCAUCCAAAUUGUUGCAGUUUGAUUUUGAAACCGCUUUGAACCUGUUUAAUCUCGUCUCACCACACCAUUGGACCAUUGAACCGUAAGUUUUGUCACCACUUGUUGUGUUUGAAAUCAAGAGGGUAUUAUGCGGAAGCUAUUAGUUGCAAACUAUAAGAUGAUAAACUAGACGACACAUGAAAAAGUAAAUUAAAAAUAUACUAUUGCAUAUGGUUUGGCCAAACGACCUACAUAUUAAAAAUAAAAUUGAAAAUUCUAAAACUUAUUGGGAGAAAUCUCCCUUAAAUUAAGACUCUUAAACGACUACAUUGUGGAUGCUACUAUGUUAUGAUAUGAGAAGGGAGUCUUUUUUAUUUAUAGAUGUCAAAAUCUUUCUUCCAAGAAAGAGGUUAGCCAAAUAUAAAAAAAAUAUUAUAUUUUUUAUUUUAGGAAAAGUAAAAGUAAUUAUGAUAAUUUUUAUAUUUUUUUGUAAGAAAAAAUAAAACUUAAACCCUAAUACACAGUGCCAUUGGGUAUUUCAGAUUUGGCUCAAUAUUUCAACCAAGUAUUUUCAUUUGUUUUCAUCUGUUAUUAGAAAGAAAAAAGAAUAGUGCCAAGCAUGAAAUGAAUGUAUAUUUAAUCUUGUUUUCAAUUGCGAAUUAACAAGUUCAUUUUAGUAGAAAUUCCAACUAAAAUCCUCAGCUACUGAACUUGCUCCGUCGAUCUCUUUCAUUGGAGAACUCCUCGUUUGGUCCAUUUUCCGGCAACAACGAGCUGUUUUGCUUCUAAUCACUUCUUUUUUUGCCCCCGACCGUGGAAUCUAAAUAGUUGGUAAAGAGUGUGCUUAGUAAAAUUGUGUGCAGAUAUAUGAAUUUUGAAAUAUUCUAGUAGUGGUGUUGGUGACAUCAAUGAAGGAAAAGGGAGGAAUGAAGUGGAAAACAAAAAAAAUUAAAAUUAAAAAUAAGUGAUUCGGAAGAUGAUGUGUCAUUAUCAUUGUGCAGUUGAAGUACAUGCAAAGUCAAAGGGGUUUGAAGUGUUGUGGGAUUGAUUAGCAAAGUCGUGAAUAAAAAGAUCCAACUGACAAACGGAGCCACAGCAACGUACAAGGUUUCCCGGUCAUUUCACCAACUAUUAAGCUUAUAAUUUUGAAAAAAUUUCUGUUUAAUCAGAGUCGUAGAAACUGUUUCAAACAAAUUACUAGGCCUGUUACUGAUCUCAAAAAGAAAACAAAUCCAGUAUAGCCAAAAAGAGCGUUAAGGUAAACUUUCCGGUUAGCUUGAUUUGUCAUUAUGUCACAGGCAUUCUUGUCUAAUUUCUCCCAUUCACCAUCUUGUAACAACACAUUCCAAAAAAUUUCAUGUCACAUCGGGUAAAAACAAAAACGGGAGCCUAAAUUUUGAGUAGCAACAAAAGCACAAAAAGCAAGUUAAUCCGAACAGGUUCAAAAUGGUUUGUUCCGUUCCAACGGAAAGAUAGAGAUGUAGCUUAAGUUUAACGUUAAUCUACAUAACAUAUUUAGACAAACGACCAAUUCACAAACAUAAAGCUGAUACAAUGAGCAGUAUCUUCUUCAUUCAGAACCUUCCAAGCCACAGCUUUCUCAUAAGAAACAGGCCUACCCAUGGUCGAUAAACAGAUUCCACCUUGGAGAAACGCAAAACCCUGUCAUCAGCAUAUUUAGACAACAUGGUUAGAUUCUCGUCAAAUUAGUGGAUCAAAUUUUGUUGACUUUUUAAGAGGUGUGAAUGAAAAAUAAAUAGAUACGACCGAAAAAGAUGCAUGUUAAAAGACACCUUUUCACUUUGAAUAGUUGUUACCUUUCUAAUAGAUUGUGACUCUUUCAAUAAGUUGUGACUAUUUUGAUAGGCUGUGGCAUUUCCAAGCAACUAAUAGAUUGUGACUCUUUCAAUAGUGGCAUUUUGUUACCUUCAUUGGCUAUUACAUUUUUUUUAUUUUAGUAUCUUUAAAUUUAUAUAUUUUAUAUCGAUGUGUUAUUACAACAAAUAUGCAUCCAAUUAUCGAUUUGAGGUUAUUUCAUGCGUUGAAAACAUUAGGAUAAUGUUAGCUCACGUUCCUAUUGGUGGGUGAACAAUCCAACAUUUGGUGAAUUCUGCUUCACAAUGAUAGAAAGAGCCGACAUCGAACGAUCAAAAAGCAACGUCGCUAUGAACGUUGGGACCAUCGCAAUGCUUUGUUUUAAUUAAACAGUCGGAUUCCCCUUGUCCGUACCCACUCUGCACGUCGACAUGUCCAGUGAACGCCUAUGCCAACUAGCGACAGUCACCUCAAAGUGCCUUCAACAUCUCUACCCUCCUUAUAUAUGCUCAUAAAAAAACUCAAGUGCCAAGAGUAGAUAAAUUGAGAGGAUCUGCCUCAGCUUUUAAUAUAUAAAAAAAAAUUCUGAAUUUCAUCUGCAUAUUUACUGACAAAUUAAUAUUGAGUUUGUGUGUGAUUAUUGAGUUCGACGAAGUUAUAGGCAUUUGAAGUACCACUACACUAAUAAGUGUAUCCGUUUUAUAUUGGGAGGAAGUAAUCCAUAACCUUAGAUACAGUGAGGGGAUUAAAUUUCUUACGGACACACGAAAAUUGUGGAUUCGAAUAUUUUAAUAAGUACAUUACUUUUCUUUUUUUUCAGUUUUACUUUUUCUGAUUUAUUAUUAAGUUUGAAACACAUGAUAACGACAAGCUUAAGGAAUUUAACAUCAAUUGUUUUUAUGUGUCCGUUGUGACUUUUUGAAAAAAAAAUAAUGGUUACUAAUCAGACGGAACUUGGAAAACGAAAAAAAGGACGAAACGGUGCAGUAGACAAUUCUGCAUUUAGGUGUUACUUUUUCUUUGAUAAAAGAUUUUAAUCUUUGUAAUUGAACAAUUCUGCAUUUUGGUGUUACUUUUUCUUUGAUAAAAGAUUUUAAUCUUUGUAAUUGAACUUCAUUAGAAAGUGGUGUCAAGUCGGUGAGAUUUCAAACCAACCUCUGCAGUUGUAAGUGAUUUUAUUAAAUAGAAAGAAAAAAAAAAAAAAAAAGCAAGUUUAAGAAGUUUUAUUUUGUAUAGAGAUUUUCUCUUUUAUUUUAUUCUGAUUUGAUUAGAGAUUAAAAUCUUACGAUUUUCUAUUUUAUUUUUAACUCAGUUCAAAGAAUAUAAAAACAUCAUUAAGUUAAUAAGAGUUUUGUUUCUCUCGAUUCGAAGAAUAUAAAAACUUUAUUGAGUGAAUAAAAACCUUUUUUAUUGUUAACUAAUUUUAUUUAUGCUAGUGAAAUAAAAAUGGGAGAAUCACUGAUGACGUGAUGGCUUCUGCAUCUGCGGCAACAAAUGUUGUUUCGUCAAUCUGUGUUACUCCUACUAUGACUGCAGCAGAAAAGCCUGAAAAGUUUUCCAAUAGUGAUUUCAAAAGAUGACAACAGAAGACGUCGUUCUAUCUGACCACUCUUAAUUUGCAUAAGUUUAUUUCCUAGGAACAUUUCCACCUUGUCAAGUGACACUUUUGAGAAAGAACGUUUUCUAGUAACUGAGGGAUGGAAUCAUUCAAAUUUUCUUUGCAGAAACUAUAUUCUGAAUGGCCUGGAAGAUGGUCUGCAUAAUGUUUAUAGUGUUUGUAAAAUUUAGAAAGAGUUAUGGGACGCUUUUGACAAGAAAUACAAGAACAAAAAUGCUGGACUAAAGAAAUUUGUGGCUGUCAAAUUCCUAGAAUUUAAGAUAGUUGACAAAGUGACCUUCUUUGUGGAGGGACUUUAAGAACUACUUAAAGCACAAAAGAAAGAAAAUGAAGUUGGAGGAUCUAAUUGUUCGUCUGCGGAUCGAAGAAGAUAAUAAAACUACAAAAAAGAAAGCUACUGAAAAAUCAGCAUUGCCAGAAGAAAAUAAUGUUGAAACUUCUCCAAAUAAGAAAAGAAAGAAGUUUGACGAAGAUAGAAAUGCACCAGAAAAGAAAAAGUUCAAGGAAAUUGCUACAACUGUGGCUAGUUUGGCCAUAUGUCUUCAAAUUAUCGUGCUCCUAGAAAAGAUAAAGAAGAAGGACCAAGCAAAUAUGAAUGAAGAUAUAGACAACUUAUGUGCAUGCUAUCAGAAUGUAAUUUGAAAAAAAAUCCCAAAGCAUGGUGGGUAGAUUAGGGUGCAACUGACAUGUUUGUUCUAAUAAGAAACUGUUUUCUUCCUAUACUUCAUCAGGAUCCGGUGCGACCAUUUUUAUGACAAAUUCUACAAUGACAAAGAUAGAAGGAACUGGUCAGAUAGUCUUGAAGAUGACUUCGGGCAAGAUCGUGAUUCUUAACAAUGUCCUUCAUGUUCUCGAAAUGCGAAAAAAUUUGAUCUCGACACCAUUUCUAGUCAAGAAUAGAUUUAAAUGUGUGUUUGUUUCUGAUCAAGUUGUAAUUAGUAAGAAUGAUAUGUAUGUGGGAAGAGAUUACCUUACGGAGGGUCUUUUCAUGCUAAAUGUAAUCGCACUUGAAAAAUAAAAGUCUUGUUUCUUCUUAAAGAAAAGACAUCUUUUCCCCCUGAACUUGUCCUCCAAACUCACUUUAGCACUUAAACUUAACUUUCGUUUAUUUACCCCCUUAACAUCUUUAAAGUGAAUUAUUUUCGCCCCUCAAAACUGAAUAUCACUCUCACAACGAAGAGUGUGUUACACCGCUUACACAUCAAUGCCACGUUGGAGCCACGUCAUUGUCACGUAAGAAAUUACUAUUUUAAAAAAAAUAAUCCCUUCCACAUUAUUUUUAUAUAUUUUUUUGAAAAAAAAAUAACAAAUAUAUAUACUAUUUUAUUUUUCACCCCCACCCCUCAUUUUUCUUUUUUUUUUUCAAAUCACCCACCCCCGUUCUCGACCCCUCUAUUUCUUUUUCUUCUUCCAGCCAACCCUCAUCCCCACCUCCAUUUUUUUUUUCAUUUUCCUUAAUUAACACCAUUAGAGAGCAAUCACAAAAUAUCAAAUUAAAAAUUUUUCUCCAUUAAACACCAUCUCAACCUUCAAUCAAACUUUCUCAAGUUUUCAACCACCAAAUUCACCCUUGAAGAUGUAAACAUAAAUAAAGAAUAGCGAAGGAACAAUGAACUUUAAAAAUAAAAGUUACAAAAAUUUCUUUCAAUUUUGUUAUUCUUCGAACUGAAUUAAUGAAGCAAUUUAAUGUCUUCAAUUUCUUCGUUGGAGAAUGUAUUAAUGGAGAAAAAUGAAAAAAAAUGGAGGAAAGUGUUGUUGGAGGAUGUGUUUGAGGCUGUUAAUGGAAGAAUUAAUUGUUGUAGAAAAUGGGUGUUGUUGUUUGUUGAUGUAUUGGAGAAGAAAAUGGUAUGAGUGUGGGGUGUAGGUGUGUGGGGUAGGUAUGAGAGGUGAAAGGGGGUGGGGGUAUUGAAGAAGAAAGGAGUAUUUUCUUUUAAAUAUAUAUAUAUGUGUGUGUGUGUGUAAGUGGGAAAAG
Molecule: long non-coding RNA, 13783 nt
Filed under: Capsicum annuum
Lineage: Eukaryota; Viridiplantae; Streptophyta; Magnoliopsida; Solanales; Solanaceae
Description: long non-coding RNA (CANN_LNC018894)
Source: RNAcentral